Molecule: long non-coding RNA, 3525 nt
Filed under: Homo sapiens (human)
Lineage: Eukaryota; Metazoa; Chordata; Mammalia; Primates; Hominidae
Description: HSALNT0221159
Source: RNAcentral
CAAGUGCGUCAGUACUGAGAGUGGUAGUGAGGGUCCCAGGCUGGUGCAGCAUGAAGAGUACCACAAGAAAUGCCCACCUGUGAGACCGCUGAGGCCGGGCAGCGCCUAUCCACCUCCCCACCCACUUUUUCUCAGAUCACAGGCCUGGGAUCUUGGUACAGUCCAAAUGGUGGGGAAAGAGCAUGGAGAAUAACAAAUACAGAACACUUCUUGUUGACUUCUUCAGGAGCAUGUUCUUGGGAAUACAAAUGUGGGGGAGUGAAGAGAAGAAAGCAGGAUGAAGCAGAAGGAAAAGAGGAGCUGCAAUCCAGUGCCCAAAGAGCUGUAGAACUGAGAUCACUCUGAAGAACUGUCCCAAACUGGAAGAAGAGGGGCAAGUAAUUAUAAUACCCUAUUGAUAAUCAUUGGAUGAGAGCUUCCCUGGGGAAGGAGGCAUUACUUUGUUCAUGGUGGGUCCCUUAAGCUAACGCAGUUUCAUCACAACGAUGCUCUCAAUCUGGAGUACACACAUCAAGAGAUGGGCAGACCCUUCAGGAGAGGUUUAAUGCAUCCAGUACACAUCGUGGUCGCUCCGCACAUGCUGGUACCCCCUGCUCCAUUAGCAGAAAUUGCUAAUUCUGAAGGUCUCCCCAUUUAAUGUAAUCCACCUCUCCCUCAUUUAAUCACAAAUACAUUCACGCCCUUCCCAGCAGGAGACAACUGAAUAUCACGUUGUGGGCUGUUCUUCAGAUACUUGUCAGGAAAUGUAAGUUCUCUGAAACACCCCCCAAAGGGAAAAGAAUAUGAAAAAGCAUUUGCCUCACAGGAAACCUGCCAACCUUUCUGUUUUACUUGGUGCUUUAGUAGGACAACCACUGGAAAGGGCAGUUUGUUGUCAAAUGAGCAUGUCAAAUGAACUCCAACCACUGCAAGGCAAAAUGAAACCCACGCUACCUAAAAGGUGUAGAUAUCAGUCCAUGUAAUUGAAAUCUGUCGACUUGGGGGUAAGUUAAAGAAACACCGUGUUGUUGUAGAAGGCCAUUGACAUCUUCUCCUGGUAAAACCCCCAGAGGGUGCUGUCUUAAGGUGUUGGACAGAAACUGCCCCAUGGCAUCUACACACUGGAUGUUGAUUUGAGUUAAACUGAGCAUUUGACAGAAGGAUUCUGACCCAUUCCCUGGAGUGAUUUGGGAAGGUAUUUAUAAAAAGGAAUGAUGUGCUCCAGUGAUUUACAAUAAUGGCAUAUAUUGUUUUGUCUUUGGUUUGUUUCUUGAUUGUAAAUAUUGGUCAGUGUCCAAAAUUAAGAUGCAAUCACUGGUUACCCCAACCUGGGAUGUUUAUUUGGAAAAACACAAAGUGGUUUAAAAUUCAUACAAAUCACUCUAAACCUGGGUACACUCUUUUUCUUUAAAUCUUAGAUUCUGCUGUCAGAUCAAGAGAAAAAGGGAAAGCUUUCAUAUUGCUCAAAAUGAUUUUUUAAAAUUUCCUUCAUUUCUUACUUCCUUCUCAACUCUUUUCCACUCUAAAACAUUCUCAACUCCCUAACUCAUUAAGAUAUUUUAUUCAUAAAGAGAACUUAAAUUAAGAUUUAAAUAAAUAUUUAUUAAACUGUUUUCCAGAUUUACAAAAUCCAGCUGGGUAACUCAUUGAAAAUAAGUACUGUGUAAUCUGUUGUCUAGUAAAAAGGGUUUGAACAGGAUGUUUAGGCCACAUCUCAGCUCCAUCAUUCCUUCUGGUAUCCUGGCAUCACUGGGUAAGUUCACAGUUUAAGGAAGGAAUCUGAGGUGGUAGAACCAGGUGUGCUGGAGAGGCAGCCUAGGUCAGUGGCUAAGAGUGAAAUUCUGGCUUCACCACUUUCUAGCUCUUACAACCUUAGGAAGGUUAUGUAAUUUCAUAUUAUUAUUAUUAUUAAAGCCUUAUGAUAUAGUUAUUAUUAUUAUCUCCAUUUUAAAGAUGAGAAAACACAGAGCACAAAACCAUAAAGACUGUGUCUGGGAUGCAGUAAGUGUUAUGUAAGGGUGUUAAGCAAGUAAGCAUACAAAAUGCAGGACCAAAAGAAGCAACACCAGCCCCCAAACUACACCAUGUGAAUUUCCAAAGAACCAAGUGUUCACACUACAUCAAAACGAGCCUGUUGAAUCUUUUGGACUCUGAGAAAUAAAGCAUAGUUAUUAUCAAAUUAAGAUUUAAAUUCAAUUCCUCAGCUGCGUCUUGAUCACUGGAUACCACUUUAAUAAUCACAUUAUUAAAGAAAGUUCCAAGUUUGGGGUGGAAUACUGCAGAUGAGGAAAGUAGAAAUUACUGCUAUAUUAUGAUCUACACUUUGUCUUAAUAUGAUCUGGCCCAUAUAAAAAUGCUCCAGAACAGUUGCAAAAUAUGGAUAUUUUUCUUUGAAAACCAGCCUUUUGUCUUUAUAACUUACAAAGCCAUUUUUCCCAGUCCACAAAGCUAUUUGGUCACAAAUUUAAGAAACCAGUGAUUCCUGAGAUAUAUGUGCUUUCACACUUCAGGAAAUAAUUUCAAAAUGAUUUUGGCAGUCUACCCAUUUUUAUAAAGAUAAAAAACUAAAAUAUUAUUUUGUCUUAGAAAUAAGUAUUAAUAGAGACAUUAUUAUAUCUUUGCCCCUAGAGCUUUAGAAGCAAAGAUUUGUCUUUCUCUUCCUCUCUCUCUCACUCUUCCCUAUUUCCUCCUUCCUGGUGAGUCUUACUUCUGUAUACUAGAGUAAUUAUAUCUAUUUUUUUGAAUGCUUUUGUAUGUAUAUUAUAAAGUGUUUCCUUUCUUGUUCUCAAUUCAAAUGGAAUACUGAACUGUGCUCUCUGUAUACUAAGUUAACUGGGGCCUGUCGGGGGGGUGGGGGGAGGGGGGAGGGAUAGCAUUAGGAGGAAAACCUAAUGUAAAUGAUGAGUUAAUGGGUCCAGCAAACCAACAUGGCACAUGUAUACAUAUGUAACAAACCUGCACGUUGUGCACAUGUACCCUAGAACUUAAAGUAUAAUAAAAAAAAAAAUUUAAAAAAAAAUUUUGCCCAGCUCGUUUUUUUUCUUUAACUAGAAUACUAAAGAGAUACAAUGAUCUAUUUUAAACAAAGCUAUUUGUCUUAGUAUUUUUUAAAAUAGUACAAGGUGGAAAACAAGCUCAGGGUCUAUCCCUAUCAGAAUAGUCAAACAACCAGAGUUCAUGCAUACUCUAGUAUAAUCUGCAUCUGCUUAAAAAUUUGAAGUCACAUAUACUAAUUUUAAAAAGCCAAUUCCGACACAUUUUAAGAGGGAAACGAUGCAGAUUUUCCGCUCUAGCUCUGCUAUGGUUUGAUUCUUUGUCUCUUCCAAAACUCAUGUUGAAAUUUUAUCCCCAGUGUGGCAGUAUUGAGAGGUUAGGCCUUUAAGAGGUGAUUGGAUUGUGAGGGUUCUGACACGAAUAGAUUGAUCCAUUUGUGGAUUAAUGGGCUAUCACAGGAGUGGAAAGAGAGGAAGAGAGAUCUGAGCUAGCACACUUAGAAAGCUUGCCAUGUGAUACCCUGUGCCACCUUGGAACUCUAUAGAGAAUCCC